CGCGCUGAGGGCGGGACGGGAGCGCGUCCUGGUCCCGGCGCCUUCCCGGGCUUCGAAACGCCUCUCACCCCCCUCAGAGGCUCUGGAGUCACCAUAAAGCACACAUUCACCGCAACACAGAUCUGACGAGUGCAGGAGGUGGAGGCCUUCUCGGGCCAUCACGGGCAGGAGCGCGCAAGUCCCUGAGGGAGAGCUAGCGGAGGGCUUCGGGCGUGGGAUUGCAGAAUGGAGACGGAUGCAGAGUAAUCCUGUUGCCUAAAUACACACACAGAUUCGAGUCAUUUCCCCAGGCACAUAUUUCACAUUCCAGUUGCAACUCUCAUGUCUGUGUGAGCUGGAAGUCUCAAGGUCAAGGUUUGGGUUUUCCUUACAUCACAAGGAAGACAAGAAAGCAACCAGUUGGCAAAGAAGGAACCAAUUCCCCACGUGCCUUUGUUUUAAAUGCCAAAAAUAUUAAUGAACUGAUCUGUAGCAGUUAAAAGCAUAUUCGAGAAGAAUCAGGCUCCCAGAGACAGAAAUAAAUACACACGAGCGAUGCAAUCGGGUAGUAACUGGAGCCUUUGAGAAUGAGAUGAACAAAUUUCACAAGUGCAUGAGAGGACAUGACACUGUCAAGCAUGCCAAAGGAACAAAGUCAAAUCAAAAAGGCACAAUGUCACCCUUGGGAGAAGAAGAGGAGGUGUGCAGCUUUCACUGCUGUGGUGCACGAGAGCCUGAGGUUGAGGCGACGACCUUCGGGAUUCCUGCAAGAUUCAGCUGCUUACCCAGCUCUUCUCUGCAGGUGUGAGGAAGGGUCGUAUGAGUUAUUGCAUGUGUUUUGUUGAAGUUGGUGAUUUUUUUGGUGUGUGUGGUUCACUCACAGGAUGAAACAAGUCUGUGAAAACUCAAAGUGCAUCAUUGCUUUCAGAGGAUAAGUUUCAUCUUGUCAUUUAUAGCAAUUUUUUUUUCCCUGAAGAUAAAAACCAAAAGUGCGUUUUAUA
Molecule: long non-coding RNA, 980 nt
Organism: Ficedula albicollis (Collared flycatcher)
Lineage: Eukaryota; Metazoa; Chordata; Aves; Passeriformes; Muscicapidae
Exons: 4
Source: RefSeq, a predicted model, not a curated record